CUCCUACGGGAAGCAGCAGUGGGGAAUCUUGCGCAAUGGGCGAAAGCCUGACGCAGCAACGCCGCGUGGAGGACGAAGGCUUUCUGAGUUGUAAACUCCUUUCAGCAGGGACGAUAGUGACGGUACCUGCAGAAGAAGCACCGGCCAACUACGUGCCAGCAGCCGCGUAAUUC
RNAcentral lists this ribosomal RNA (173 nucleotides) under uncultured bacterium. RNAcentral's name for it is "partial 16S ribosomal RNA". It matches the Rfam family "Bacterial small subunit ribosomal RNA", at positions 336 to 526 of the family's 1533-position model. The record is from RNAcentral.